Molecule: ribosomal RNA, 274 nt
Filed under: uncultured bacterium
Lineage: Bacteria
Description: partial 16S ribosomal RNA
Rfam family: Bacterial small subunit ribosomal RNA
Source: RNAcentral
AUACGGAGGGUCCGAGCGUUAUCCGGAAUCAUUGGGUUUAAAGGGUCCGUAGGCGGGAAUCUAAGUCAGUGGUGAAAUCUUGCAGCUCAACUGUAAAAUUGCCAUUGAUACUGGAUUUCUUGAAUUAGUGUGAAGUGGUUAGAAUGUGUAGUGUAGCGGUGAAAUGCAUAGAUAUUAUACAGAAUACCAAUUGCGAAGGCAGAUCACUAACACUAUAUUGACGCUGAGGGACGAAAGCGUGGGGAGCGAACAGGAUUAGAUACCCGGGUAGUCC